RNAcentral lists this ribosomal RNA (336 nucleotides) under uncultured bacterium. Its description in RNAcentral is "partial 16S ribosomal RNA". It matches the Rfam family "Bacterial small subunit ribosomal RNA", at positions 338 to 691 of the family's 1533-position model. The record is from RNAcentral.
CCUACGGGUGGCAGCAGUAGGGAAUAUUGCUCAAUGGGGGAAACCCUGAAGCAGCAACGCCGCGUGGAGGAUGAAGGUUUUCGGAUUGUAAACUCCUUUUGGUAGAGAAGAGAAGGACGGUAGCUAAAGAAUAAGCACCGGCGAACUCCGUGCCAGCAGCCGCGGUAAUACGGAGGGUGCAAGCGUUACUCGGAAUCACGGGGCGUAACGAGCGCGUAGGCGGGAUAGCCAGUCAGAUGGGAAAUCCUAUGGCUUAACCAUAGAACUGCAUUUGAAACUGUUAUUCUAGCGUAUGGGAGAGGUAGGUGGUAUUCUUGGUGUAGGGGUCAACUCCGU